This 460-nucleotide ribosomal RNA is filed under the name uncultured bacterium. Its description in RNAcentral is "partial 16S ribosomal RNA". It matches the Rfam family "Bacterial small subunit ribosomal RNA", at positions 338 to 795 of the family's 1533-position model. The record is from RNAcentral.
CCUACGGGAGGCAGCAGUGAGGAAUAUUCGGCAAUGGGCGCAAGCCUGAACCAGCAAAGUAGCGUGAGGGAUGACUGCCCUACGGUCUGAACACUUCUUUUUUAAAGGAGUAAAUUCAGGCACGUGUGCCUUUUUGUCUGUACUUUAUGAAUAAGGAUCAGCUAACUCCGUGCCAUCAGCCGCGGUAAUACGGUGGAUACGAGCGUUAUCCGGAUUUAUUGGGUUUAAAGGGAGCGUAGAUGGGGUGUUAAGUCAGUUGUGAAAGGUUGCGGCUCAACCGUAAAAUUGCAAUGGAUACUGGAAGACUUGAGUACAGUUGAGGUAGGCGGAAUUCGUGGUGUAGCGGUGAAAUGCUCAGAUAUCACGAAGAACACCGAUGGCGAAGGCAGCCUACUAAACUGCCACUGACAUUGAUGCUCGAAAGUGUGGGUAUCAAACAGGAUUAGAUACCCUUGUAGUC